This is an RNA transcript of Canis lupus familiaris (dog), 3192 nucleotides long. It is a transcript of the gene named LIM domain binding 3, with no coding region annotated. The transcript is spliced from 14 exons. NCBI's taxonomy places the organism in Eukaryota, Metazoa, Chordata, Mammalia, Carnivora, Canidae. The record is from RefSeq and is a predicted model, not a curated record.
CACGGUGGGAGGCGGCGGGCGGCGGAGUAUAGGGUUACAGCCCAUUUAUGGGCGCAGCGGAGGGCAGAUAUCAGUGUCCAGGGCAUUCGUUCCCAGCUAUUCUUAGGAGCGUCUAGGGAGCUCCACGCAGCCGCCAGACCGAGGGACGGAGCAGAGGCCGCCGCGGUCAGCACGAGCAUGUCGUACAGCGUGACCCUGACCGGGCCCGGGCCCUGGGGCUUCCGUCUCCAGGGGGGCAAGGACUUCAACAUGCCGCUCACUAUCUCCCGGAUCACACCAGGAAGCAAGGCCGCCCAGUCCCAGCUCAGCCAGGGUGACCUCGUGGUAGCCAUCGAUGGAGUCAACACAGACACCAUGACCCACCUGGAAGCCCAGAACAAGAUCAAGUCUGCCAGCUACAACCUGAGUCUCACGCUGCAGAAGUCGAAGCGCCCCAUCCCCAUCUCCACGACAGCGCCCCCGGUCCAGUCCCCUCUGCCGGUGAUCCCCCACCAGAAGGACCCUGCUGGGGACAUGAGCGGCAGCCCCACGGCACGCAGCCCCGGACCCCUGGGCCCCCCGGAGCUCGGGCCCAGCUCUAGCCCCUCCUUCUCCCAGAGUCCCCCAAGGGGCGGCCCGGGCACGGAGGGAGCCCCGGGACCGAGAGGGCAGGGCAGGCCCGCGCAGUACAACAACCCCAUUGGGCUGUACUCGGCCGAGACCCUGAGGGAGAUGGCUCAGGUGUAUCGGAUGAGCCUCGGAGGGAAGGCCUGGGGGGCCGGACUCCCAGGAGGGAGCCUCCCUAUUAAGGACCUGGCCGUGGACAGCGCAUCUCCCGUGUACCAGGCCGUGAUCAAGAACCAGAACAAGCCAGAAGACGAGGCUGACGAGUGGGCCCGCCGCUCCUCCAACCUGCAGUCUCGCUCCUUCCGCAUCCUGGCCCAGAUGACCGGGACAGAGUACAUGCAAGACCCUGAUGAGGAAGCUCUGCGGAGGUCAAGGCCCCAGGCCUCUGCCUACAGCCUGGCCAAGGCGACCUCUCCGGCACCCGCCUCUCAUCCAUACAGUGAGGCCUCAGCUGCCCCUGCGCCCAAGCCCCGGGUUGUCACCACCGCCAGCAUCCGGCCUUCUGUCUACCAGCCAGUGCCCGCGGCGACCUACAGCCCCUCCCCGGGGCCCAGCUACAGCCCAGCUCCCUACACCCCCUCGCCGGCCCCGGGCCCGGGCUACAGCCCCACGCCGUCCGCGGCCUACGGUGGCGGCCCCGUGGAGUCGGCCAGCCGUCCCCCGUGGGUGGCAGACGACAGCUUCUCUCAGAAGUUUGCCCCCGGCAAGAGCAGCAGCUCGGCCAGCAGACAGACCCUGCCGCGAGGGGCCCCCACCUACGGCCCCCCCGGGCCCCAAGUGUCCCCCCUGGCCAGGGGCAUCGUGCAGCGGGCGGAGCGCUUCCCGGCCAGCAGCAGGACCCCGCUCUGCGGCCACUGCAACAACGUCAUCAGGGGCCCCUUUCUGGUAGCCAUGGGCCGUUCCUGGCACCCGGAGGAGUUCAAUUGCGCCUACUGCAAGACCUCCCUGGCGGACGUGUGCUUCGUGGAGGAGCAGAGCAACGUUUACUGCGAGCGCUGUUAUGAGCAGUUCUUUGCUCCGAUCUGCGCCAAGUGCAACACCAAAAUCAUGGGGGAAGUGAUGCACGCCCUGCGGCAGACUUGGCACACCACCUGCUUCGUCUGCGCAGCUUGCAAAAAGCCCUUCGGGAACAGCCUCUUCCACAUGGAAGACGGGGAGCCCUACUGUGAGAAAGACUACGUCAACCUGUUCAGCACCAAGUGUCAUGGCUGUGAUUUCCCUGUGGAGGCCGGCGACAAGUUUAUCGAAGCCCUGGGGCAUACCUGGCACGACACCUGCUUCAUCUGCGCAGUGUGCCACGUGAAUCUGGAGGGACAGCCGUUCUACUCCAAGAAGGACAAGCCCCUGUGCAAGAAGCACGCGCACGCCAUCAACGUGUAGGGAGCCCGGAGCGCCUGACGCUGACAGGCCGGCCGCCUGCUGCCGGCGACAGAGGAGCGAGGAGGCUGGUGUUUCUGGGGGGAAAGGGGGAGACAGGAAGCUACUGAGCCCUUUGAAGGAGAAAGAAGCCGCAGGAUGCGUCCCUAAGAAGCGGCAGGAGGCCCUGGCCUUUCUCCCAAGGGGGGAGCCGUCCCCGAGGGAGCACCAGGAGGGCCUUAAAUGUGUUCCUACCACAGGGCCCUUCUCCACCUGCGGCGCAGUAAGAAAGUCCAUCUCCAGGACCACACAGUAAAACCUGCUGGGAGUGACUGAGAUUUUUCAGGACUUGCAAACAAGUACCUUGGAGCAUUCUGUUAUUUUUGGAAAGUUCAAAUAUACGGGGAUAAGGAGGUCGCUGGCUGUACAGAAAAGCUCUAGGAAAAAAGAAAAAAAAAGGUUUUCUCUUAAAGCACAAACGAAAACACGUUUUCAGGGACUGGUCUCGAGAAAAGGAAGAAAAGUUCCUGAGAGUUAAGUCUCCAAAAAUACCUUUUAAAAGGCCUCAUGCACACACGGCCGUGCCCGCGUGCACGUGCGAUCAUUUCAAAGUACCUGAUGGAUGGAACGAGAAGGGAGGCCUCCCGGAGGACUUCGUCGGGUCACUAACUGAUUCGGGUUUUCCACAUCUCAGAGCGAGUGUCGAUCCGAGGGACUCUCAUUCACCAAAACACAAAAGAAGGGCAAAACCAUCUUAAAGGCAGCAGGAGAAGGAGGUAGCUCUGAUUACCGGGUUCCCUCGGUGUUUGCAGGGUGGGUGUAGCUUUGGGGUUAAGGUGGGAUCUACUUCAAGGUAACAUCAGAGUGUCCUAGGACGCCAGGCAAUUUCUAAUAGUUCCUCUGGGGAGUACACGUUGGAUCUACAGUUCUUGUCUCCUCAUUGUUGACGUUUAUGUAACACUUAGAAACCUUAACUUUUUGCAAUGGAGUGACUUGUGUCUGCAGUGUUCCUGUCAGGAAUGUAGCUUUUAUAAUGUUAGCGUUUCAACCUAAGUACUCUUGCUUUGGGAUUUUUUUUUUUUUUAAUUUUCAGAUUUCAAAAGUGGAAAGUAGUGUGUUAGACGUGUGCACAAAAAUGUUUUGCAUGUUUCUUUGUUUUGUUUUGUUUUUUUGCUUGUGUGAAUCUACUUUUUAGCACAAUAAAACCUAAAAAGGAUGUGCAAAUACAGA